This 269-nucleotide unclassified non-coding RNA is filed under the name air metagenome. Its description in RNAcentral is "partial contains small subunit ribosomal RNA, internal transcribed spacer 1, and 5.8S ribosomal RNA". The stretch from base 1 to 46 matches the Rfam family "Eukaryotic small subunit ribosomal RNA", at positions 1786 to 1831 of the family's 1831-position model. The record is from RNAcentral.
AAGUCGUAACAAGGUUUCCGUAGGUGAACCUGCGGAAGGAUCAUUGUCGAAAUACAAAACCGGGGGCUGCCCUGCACCGGCGGCGACGCCGUGUCGCGGGCCUCCCAUUCCACACACCCACACCCCUGUGCACCUUUGGGAACGGCGGUCGAGAGGCUGCCGGGCCCAGUUUUUCAAACAAACGCUUUGCUAAAGUCUAAUGAACGUAAUUGGCGGCUCGUCCGUCCUAAACAAAAAUACAACUUUCAACAACGGAUCUCUUGGCUCUC